This 338-nucleotide ribosomal RNA is filed under the name Cardioglossa gracilis (Rio Benito long-fingered frog). RNAcentral describes it as "partial 12S ribosomal RNA". It matches the Rfam family "Bacterial small subunit ribosomal RNA", at positions 878 to 1384 of the family's 1533-position model. The record is from RNAcentral. Lineage: Eukaryota; Metazoa; Chordata; Amphibia; Anura; Arthroleptidae.
UACUACAAGCCCAAGCUUAAAACUCAAAGGACUUGACGGCGUCCCACCCACCUAGAGGAGCCUGUUCUAUAAUCGAUAAUCCCCGAUAAACCCAACCACUUCUUGCUAAUCAGUCUGUAUACCUCCGUCGCAAGCUUACCAUAUGAAUGACAAUUAGUGAGCAAAAUGAUUACUACACCAACACGUCAGGUCAAGGUGCAACCUAUGAACUGGAAAGAAAUGGGCUACAAUUUCUAAUUAUAGAACAAACGAAAAAAUUAUAUGAAAAAUAAUUAUGAAGGCGGAUUUAGUAGUAAGGGGCAAAUAAAGUGUUCCCCUUAAUUCGGCACUGGGACUGU